UGGCUCUGGAGAAUCCCAAUAACGGGUACCGAAGGUGCAAGGCGCGCACUGCGGCGGCGCUGAAUCUCUCAGGUAAAAGGACAGAGUGG
Molecule: non-coding RNA, 89 nt
Filed under: chicken gut metagenome
Description: Glycine riboswitch
Rfam family: Glycine riboswitch aptamer
About the family: This family represents the bacterial glycine riboswitch. Glycine riboswitches usually consist of two metabolite-binding aptamers domains with similar structures in tandem.
Source: RNAcentral